RNAcentral lists this ribosomal RNA (119 nucleotides) under Pteropus alecto (black flying fox). The record is from RNAcentral. Lineage: Eukaryota; Metazoa; Chordata; Mammalia; Chiroptera; Pteropodidae.
GUCUACAGCCAUACAACCCUGAACACGCCCGAUCUUGUUUCAUCUCAGAAGCUAAGCAGGUUUGGGUCUGGUUAGUACUUGGAUGGGAGACAGCCUGGGAAUACCAAGUGCUGUAGGCU